UACGUAGGGUGCGAGCGUUAAUCGGAAUUACUGGGCGUAAAGCGUGCGCAGGCGGUUGUGCAAGACAGAUGUGAAAUCCCCGGGCUUAACCUGGGAACUGCAUUUGUGACUGCACGGCUAGAGUGUGUCAGAGGGGGGUAGAAUUCCACGUGUAGCAGUGAAAUGCGUAGAGAUGUGGAGGAAUACCGAUGGCGAAGGCAGCCCCCUGGGCCAAUACUGACGCUCAUGCACGAAAGCGUGGGGAGCAAACAGG
Molecule: ribosomal RNA, 253 nt
Filed under: uncultured bacterium
Lineage: Bacteria
Description: partial 16S ribosomal RNA
Rfam family: Bacterial small subunit ribosomal RNA
Source: RNAcentral